Molecule: unclassified non-coding RNA, 389 nt
Filed under: soil metagenome
Description: partial contains 5.8S ribosomal RNA, internal transcribed spacer 2, and large subunit ribosomal RNA
Rfam family: 5.8S ribosomal RNA (bases 1-120)
Source: RNAcentral
GAUGAAGAACGUAGUGAAAUGCGAUAAGUAAUGUGAAUUGCAGAAUUCAGUGAAUCAUCGAAUCUUUGAACGCACCUUGCGCUCCUUGGUAUUCCGAGGAGCAUGCCUGUUUGAGUGUCAUUAAAUUCUCAACCUUAUUGGCUUUUGCUGAUAAUGGCUUGGACUUGGGGGUCUUUUUGCUGGCUUUCAUUAGUCUGCUCCCCUUAAAUGUAUUAGCCGGUGCCCCGCAGUGGAACCGUCUAUUGGUGUGAUAAUUAUCUACGCCGUGGACGUCUGCUAUAAUGGGUUUGCGCUGCUUCUAACCGUCUCUCGGGACAACACAAAUGACAAUUUGACCUCAAAUCAGGUAGGACUACCCGCUGAAAUUAAGCAUAUCAAUAAGCGGAGGA